CGCGAUGUUCGCCCAGGGGCACGGCAGUAUCGUGAACUGCGCCUCGGUGCUCGCAUCGUCGGGGCGCCCGGGCGCAUCGGCCUAUUGCGCC
Molecule: transfer RNA, 91 nt
Filed under: Achromobacter veterisilvae
Lineage: Bacteria; Pseudomonadati; Pseudomonadota; Betaproteobacteria; Burkholderiales; Alcaligenaceae
Description: Achromobacter sp. LMG 30378 tRNA-Thr
Source: RNAcentral